Molecule: ribosomal RNA, 811 nt
Filed under: uncultured bacterium
Lineage: Bacteria
Also listed under: 1 other name
Description: bacterial SSU rRNA
Rfam family: Bacterial small subunit ribosomal RNA
Source: RNAcentral
GGAUCCAGACUUUGAUUCUGGCUCAGGAUGAACGCUAGCUACAGGCUUAACACAUGCAAGUCGAGGGGAAACGACAUCGAAAGCUUGCUUUUGAUGGGCGUCGACCGGCGCACGGGUGAGUAACGCGUAUCCAACCUGCCCACCUUGGAGAUAACCUUGCGAAAGUAAGACUAAUACCCAAUGACAUCCCACGAAGGCAUCUGAAUGGGAUUAAAGAUUUAUCGGUGAUGGAUGGGGAUGCGUCUGAUUAGCUUGUUGGCGGGGUAACGGCCCACCAAGGCAACGAUCAGUAGGGGUUCUGAGAGGAAGGUCCCCCACAUUGGAACUGAGACACGGUCCAAACUCCUACGGGAGGCAGCAGUGAGGAAUAUUGGUCAAUGGGCGAGAGCCUGAACCAGCCAAGUAGCGUGCAGGAUGACGGCCCUAUGGGUUGUAAACUGCUUUUAUAAGGGAAUAAAGUGAGUCUCGUGAGACUUUUUGCAUGUACCUUAUGAAUAAGGACCGGCUAAUUCCGUGCCAGCAGCCGCGGUAAUACGGAAGGUCCGGGCGUUAUCCGGAUUUAUUGGGUUUAAAGGGAGCGUAGGCCGGAGAUUAAGCGUGUCGUGAAAUGUAGUGGCUCAACCUCUGCACUGCAGCGCGAACUGGUCUUCUUGAGUACGCACAACGUGGGCGGAAUUCGUGGUGUAGCGGUGAAAUGCUUAGAUAUCACGAAGAACUCCGAUUGCGAAGGCAGUUCACGGGAGCGCAACUGACGCUGAAGCUCGAAAGUGCGGGUAUCGAACAGGAUUAGAUACCCUGGUAGUCCGCACGG